CAAAUGCCUUGCUCCAUCAUAAACAUAAAUUCGGCUUUAGCAAAUUUUAAUUUUUCAGGAGACAGAAGUAAAAAAUAUCGAUUGACCCUCUGUUAAAAUAUGAUGUUCAACUCCAUCGUUACACGGUAGAAACCGCCGUGAAUCUUGUAAGAUUCAGAAAUUCAGCUAAAAGUCUUUGAGCCGUUAGCAGCAAAAAGUUUAAUAGAGGCUGGCGACAACUUUGGGCAAAACUUUCUUGGAAUAAGAGAGAUAUCAGCUCCUGUGUCCACGAAAAAGCGUAAUCCAGAAGACUUGCUAGUAAAAAUGAGGCGAUUAUUAACAAGCCCAUCCAUUCCAUUGUCUGAUAUCUCGACAUCCAACGGCGAAGUUAGUUUUCCUGUUUAUCAGUGAUGGUCAAAGUUUCGGACAUAAAACGAGCUUUUAGAUAUGAAACUUUAUUCAAGGAUUUUGUACAAGAUGACUGCACGAGUUACA
Acromyrmex echinatior (Panamanian leafcutter ant) is the source of this 474-nucleotide long non-coding RNA. The record is from RefSeq and is a predicted model, not a curated record. Lineage: Eukaryota; Metazoa; Arthropoda; Insecta; Hymenoptera; Formicidae.